UGGGCGUAAGCGCGCGCAGGCGGUUUCUUAAGUCUGAUGUGAAAGCCCCCGGCUCAACCGGGGAGGGUCAUUGGAAACUGGGGAACUUGAGUGCAGAAGAGGAGAGUGGAAUUCCACGUGUAGCGGUGAAAUGCGUAGAGAUGUGGAGGAACACCAGUGGCGAAGGCGACUCUCUGGUCUGUAACUGACGCUGAGGCGCGAAAGCGUGGGGAGCGAACAGGAUUAGAUA
RNAcentral lists this ribosomal RNA (229 nucleotides) under Bacillus licheniformis. RNAcentral describes it as "partial 16S ribosomal RNA". It matches the Rfam family "Bacterial small subunit ribosomal RNA", at positions 555 to 784 of the family's 1533-position model. Lineage: Bacteria; Bacillati; Bacillota; Bacilli; Caryophanales; Bacillaceae. The record is from RNAcentral.